AAGUCGUAACAAGGUCUCCGUUGGUGAACCAGCGGAGGGAUCAUUAAAAAUGAGUCCCAAGACUUAAAACCUACCGUGCUCCCCUACGUGGACAACAGGAAAGCCCUCCGGGGCAUAGGAAAUCUGAGAAGUUAAAGAACUGCGCCCCGGCGCAUGACUAAACAAACAAUUACAACCCAUAACAAUGGAUCUCUUGGCUCUG
Molecule: unclassified non-coding RNA, 202 nt
Filed under: air metagenome
Description: partial contains small subunit ribosomal RNA and internal transcribed spacer 1
Rfam family: Eukaryotic small subunit ribosomal RNA (bases 1-46)
Source: RNAcentral